GGUCCCAGUUCGGAUAAGAGGCUGAAACUCGCCUCUUUGAAGUCGGAAUCGCUAGUAAUCGCAGAUCAGCAUGUUGCGGUGAAUACGUUUCCUGGUCUUGUACACACCGCCCGUCAAACCAUGAGAGUCGCCAACACCCGAAGUCCGCUUUGCGGCCUAAGGUGGGGGAGAUGAUUGGGGUUAAGUCGUAACAAGGUAAC
This 200-nucleotide ribosomal RNA is filed under the name uncultured bacterium. Its description in RNAcentral is "partial 16S ribosomal RNA". It matches the Rfam family "Bacterial small subunit ribosomal RNA", at positions 1284 to 1500 of the family's 1533-position model. The record is from RNAcentral.